RNAcentral lists this ribosomal RNA (28 nucleotides) under Platanus kerrii. The record is from RNAcentral. Lineage: Eukaryota; Viridiplantae; Streptophyta; Magnoliopsida; Proteales; Platanaceae.
CUCCUGGGAAGUCCUUGUGUUGCACCCU